Molecule: ribosomal RNA, 377 nt
Filed under: uncultured bacterium
Lineage: Bacteria
Description: bacterial SSU rRNA
Rfam family: Bacterial small subunit ribosomal RNA
Source: RNAcentral
AGUAACGUAGCGAAAGUUAACGCUAAUACCGCAUAUUCUGUGAGCAGGAAAGAAGGGGGAGUCGCAAGACCUCUUGCUUUAGGUAGCGGCCGAUGUCGGAUUAGCUAGUUGGUGAGGUAAAGGACUCACCAAGGCGACGAUCCGUAGCGGGUCGUGAGAGGAGUGAUCCGCCACACUGGGACUGAGACACGGCCCAGACUCCUACGGGAGGCAGCAGUGGGGAAUUUUGGACAAUGGGCGCAAGCCUGAUCCAGCCAUGCCGCGUGAGUGAAGAAGGCCUUCGGGUUGUAAAGCUCUUUCGGUGGGGAAGAAAUUGCUUCGGUUAAUACCUGGAGUAGAUGACGGUACCCGCAUAAGAAGCACCGGCUAACUACGUG